AGUGAACGCUGGCGGUAGGCCUAACACAUGCAAGUCGAACGGCAGCACAGUAAGAGCUUGCUCUUACGGGUGGCGAGUGGCGGACGGGUGAGGAAUACAUCGGAAUCUACUUUUUCGUGGGGGAUAACGUAGGGAAACUUACGCUAAUACCGCAUACGACCUACGGGUUAAAGCAGGGGAUCUUCGGACCUUGCUCGAUUGAAUGAGCCGAUGUCGGAUUAUCUAGUUGGCGGGGUAAAGGCCCACCACGGCGACGAUCCGUAGCUGGUCUGAGAGGAUGAUCAGCCACUCUGGAACUGAGACACGGUCCAGACUCCUACGGGAGGCAGAAGUGGGGAAUAUUGGACAAUGGGCGCAAGCCUGAUCCAGCCAUACCGCGUGGGUGAAGAAGGCCUGCGGGUUGUAAAGCCCUUUUGUUGGGAAAGAAAAGCAGCAGGUUAAUACCCCGCUGUUCUGACGGUACCCAAAGAAAAGGCACCGGCAACUUUCGG
This 491-nucleotide ribosomal RNA is filed under the name uncultured bacterium. RNAcentral describes it as "partial 16S ribosomal RNA". It matches the Rfam family "Bacterial small subunit ribosomal RNA", at positions 29 to 506 of the family's 1533-position model. The record is from RNAcentral.